UGUGUGUGUGUGUGUGUGUGUGUGUGUGUGUCUGCUGUGUCCCCUGCAGGAAUUUUAAGAAAGGGAAACUAAACCUUUCUUUCUUCUUUUUCUUCUUUUUCUUCCCAUCAUUGAAUUUUACAGGGUUGAGAUGUGGGUCUGAAUGGCAAAAAUGAAGGCUGCAGAUAUGAAACGUAUCUGACUUCACAAAACAUGCCUCUUUUUGGAGUGAUUGUGCAGAAGUGCCUUACUGAUGAAAACAUCAAAAUGUAGAACAGUUAAGAUAAGAAGCAGUCAGGAUACUAACUCCAAUUCAUCUAACAAGACAGACAAGAUUAAACCACCCGUUACCGAGAAGGUUGAAGGAGCGCUGUAGGAGAGUAUCAGCACCAGGUGGGGACACUAUUCUUCUACUUUAUAAAAACAUCUGGAAAGAGAGGUAAGUGCUCUCCCAUGACUGCUCAACCUUGGAAGUUAAAAUGUCGG
This 465-nucleotide long non-coding RNA is filed under the name Chinchilla lanigera (long-tailed chinchilla). RNAcentral's name for it is "lncRNA (ENSCLAG00000029067.1)". Lineage: Eukaryota; Metazoa; Chordata; Mammalia; Rodentia; Chinchillidae. The record is from RNAcentral.